UUAAACACGCAUGUUGCUUGUGUCAUUUCAUAUCAUGUUGACUGAAAAAACCUUCUUCAUAGAGAGUACAUGAAAGACAUUCGUCAACCAAGACUCUCAAUGAUCUAUCUCUUUUCUUUUGAAGCAAUUCUUUAGAGAGAACAUACUCCCUCAUGUUAUGACCUUUCUUGGUCAUCCUUCGGGUCACAAGUACCCAGCCAUUCGCUUUCACGAAUGAAACAUGGAAAACUUUUAGUUUGGGAAAAAUUAGCCAAUAAUCAACAAUAAUGAGCAUAAAAAUAACCCCAUGUUGGUCUGGUUAAAAAAUAUGCACAUUAAACUUUAAAAUUUUCUUUUAUAUUCUAAACCAUCAUUGGGCAGAAUUAGAAUAAAACAUCAUCCUUCUACAUUAAUUCCAUAUCACCGUAGGGCGGAAAUGGAAAUAAUGCAUAUAAAUCGUAAACAAUGUGAUGAUAGUAUUUCUAUUAAAUAACUUUGCUAAGAAAUAAUCAUCAUCGUCAACUUUAUUGCAUCGGGAACAAGAAAUAUACAUUUCUCUAGUUCAAGAGCAUUUCUUGAUCUUUAUCUGUUCUCUGAAAAUUGAUCACUUUGAUACAAAAUUUAUUAGAGAUUUAAGCUUUGAACACAAGACUCAUAGAAUUAUAGUAUUGUUAUCAUCAACGUUGGUAAGAAAAUAACAAUACCCUAUUUUAACUUUAAAACAAAUAUCUUUCUUUUGUCAUAGCAAAAACUAUCUGAAUCUGAUUUCACCCACAGGGAAAAAACAUUGCUAAGAACAGUUCUUCAAAUUAAAUUUUCCUGUUGGUUCCAAUUUAAUUGGAGGAUAAUUUGUUUUUUACUUUGCAACGGAAACUUUCUCAAUCCAUCCAGAAACAAUUUUGUACUCUUUUACUCUCUAAGUAAUUUUAACCGGUUGGUUCAAAAUUGCAUUGGAGAAGCAACAAUUUAAUAUUUUACUUUAGUUCUAUUUUAAAAGAGUACUUUUAUUUUUGUUAGCAGCGGAAAAACAUGAAUAAAAAAUUCAUAAACUUUAUUAUUUUCUUUGUAAAAAUUCAUGAACAUUUCUUUUUCUGAAAAUUUUCUAUUUUCAUUUUCAAAAACUUUUAUUUUACUUUUCGGAAACUUUUAUAUUUUCUGAAAAAGCAAAAAAUAUCAUAAACUUUUCUAUUUACUUUUCAAGACAUUUCUGUUUUUUUAGAAAAAAAUGGCAGUGCCCAGCGCGCGCGGCAGCAGGCCUCAGCCCAGCGCGCGCAGUUGCGCCCGCGAGGCUGCGCCCGCGCGGCUCUUUCGUCCCAGCGGGCCAGUUGGCCCGAUUCCUUUCUGGCCCAGCAGCCUACAGCGGGUUAGCGCGCGUUUGGAUCUGGGCGGUUGAUCUGAUCGGACGGUCGCCCGAUGUUCUCACUGGAUCAAAACCAGCUGGCGACGAAACCCUCGUUCAUUCCCUUCCCCCCGCACGCGCCGCUCUCAUCCCUCUCUCGCUCAGGGCAUCUUUCUCUCCCGCCCGGCCACCGCGCUGGGCCAGAGUGCCGGCGUCGGCGUUGACCGGCCAGGGCGCCGGCCACGGCGUCGACCGGCCACCGCGCCUUUUCUUUUACUUUCCCCUCCUGAUCUCCCUUCGUCCACCGCAUCUAGUGCCAUAGAGGCACGCGGCUACGCCCCGGUCGCCGGUGAUGGCGGCGAGCCGCGCCAGCGCGAGCCCCCUUCCCUUUCCCCUUCGUUUCCAUUCCUCCAUCUCCAGAAGGCAGCGAGAGAGAGAUACGGCGGCUUUCCGAUGCGGCGCCCCCGCUGACCCCUUUGCCGGCGUGCGCGAGCACCUCUAGGGUGAACGCGCCGCCGUCAAACGGCUCGGUGGUGGUGCCCUUUGCCCCGUGGGGUUCUUCUUCUUCCCUGCACCUCGGCUUGCCGAUGCGUGUGGGGAUCGAGAGGAACGGCGCGGCCAUGACGACGGCGCUACUUUCUCCAGUGAGGAAACUUUCUUUGCCCUGUCAAUUAGGGUUCUUUGGGGAGGGAAGGAUUUCUGUUGCUACCGAAAAUCCACAACGCCAACCUGGGCUGACACCAUUGAUAGAACCUGUUGAUCCAGUAGGCAUGGGGAUUCCAGUAGUGCUGAUAGGUAUUACCUUCUCCUUGGUCUCGAGGAGGUCCGGUGCCAGCUAUGGUGACUGUGGCCGGUGAUGGCAGAGAGUAGUGGUGGCGGUGCUUCGCGUCAGCACUGCACUAACCCUAGAUCAAUAGGGGAUGUAGGUGGGGUGUACGGCGUGGCGACGAACCUCGUGAUCGAGCCGCCGACCCCCACCUCUUUAUAUAUAGUGCAGGUGACAGGGGCCCGUCACCCAUAGUGGGUUGAGCGUCCCCGAUCAGGGCGCGGAUCUAAGGGCCCGAUGGGCCGUUGGGCCCACACGGUGGAGAUCAUCCUAACACCCCUCUGCAUCCAGCAGGUAACCGCGCACCGCCCUAACCAGUGUGUAAAGCUCGGGAAAAGCCUCUGUCAGCAUCAGAUGGCAGCGCUCGCGCCCCAAAGGUUGAAACGGAGAGCAGGUUUUGCAAAGUGGAAAGAGGAGAUGAGAUUCAUCGGGUGGCUCAGUAGAGCAUGGUCAUGGUCUCAUGGUCCGCGUUUCUUGUAUCGGGAAAGGCGCGUAAAAAGGUGCUGAGGUUGCAAUUUAGCUCAGACUAGCAACUUCUCAAAACAGAAACCGGAGGGUGAAGCAUGUGCAAUGGGCCGGUAGAUGAGAGGGGUAGCACGCGGUAGGAGGAAAAGCAUUGUUCUGCCUAUGUCGUCGUCCUCCUCGGAGUGGUUCUUCCACCGGCGGAAUGGCGAGGGGUCCGAUCUCCCUGCCGGCCCACCACAUGGCACUCGUGAAUGAGUCGCCCGGCUUCCUCCUGCGCCGUACGGAGGGCCACCUCGACCAACGUCAACCCAAGUCGGGAGCCCUGCCCUUCCCCCUGCCGGCAACGCAGAGGUGUUGCUCAGUGACCACUCCUCCUCGAUCUUGGUGAGCUCCCCAUCGAGAAGGCGCAAUCACCAUGCAGACGUCUCCGCGGGGGUCACACACCAGUCAAGGGCCCAGCCUCCGUGAGGUCGGUUUUCAUGAAGACCCAAACAGGCGCAGCACUGUACUUCUCGAAUGCCGCCUGGCGCGUGAUACGUCUCCAACGUAUCUAUAAUUUUUGAUUGCUCCAUGCUAUAUUAUAUUCUGUUUUGGACAUUAUUGGGCUUUAUUAUACACUUUUAUAUUAUUUUUGGGACUAACCUAUUAACCGGAGGCCCAGCCCAGAAUUGCUGUUUUUUGCCUAUUUUAGAGUUUCAUAGAAAAAGAAUAUCAAACGGAGUCCAAACGGAAUGAAACCUUCGGGAACGUGAUUUUCGGAACGAACAUGAUCCAGAGGACUUGGACCCAACGUCAAGAAACGAAAGAGGAAGCCACGAGGUAGGGGGGCACGCCUACCCCCCCCCCCCUAGGCGCGCCCUCCACCCUCGUGGGCCCCCUGUUGCUCCACCGACGUACUCCUUCCUCCUAUAUAUACCUACGUACCCCCAAACGAUCAGAUACGGAGCCAAAAACCUAAUUCCACCGCCGCAACCUUCUGUACCCACGAGAUCCCAUCUUGGGGCCUGUUCCGGAGCUCCGCCGGAGGGGCCAUCGGUCACGGAGGGCUUCUACAUCAACACCAUAGCCUCUCCGAUGAUGUGUGAGUAGUUUACCUCAGACCUUCGGGUCCAUAGUUAUUAGCUAGAUGGCUUCUUCUCUCUUUUUGGAUCUCAAUACAAUGUUCUCCCCCUCUCUCGUGGAGAUCUAUUCGAUGUAAUCUUCUUUUGCGGUGUGUUUGUUGAGACCGAUGAAUUGUGGGUUUAUGAUCAAGUUUAUCUAUGAACAAUAUUUGAAUCUUCUCUGAAUUCGUUUAUGUAUGAUUGGUUAUCUUUGCAAGUCUCUUCGAAUUAUCAGUUUGGUUUGGCCUACUAGAUUGGUUUUUCUUGCAAUGGGAGAACUGCUUAGCUUUGGGUUCAAUCUUGCGGUGUUCUUUCCCAGUGACAGUAGGGGCUGCAAGGCACGUAUUGUAUUGUUGCCAUCGAGGAUAACAAGAUGGUUUUUUUUAUCAUAUUGCAUGAAUUUAUCCCUCUACAUCAUGUCAUCUUGCUUAUGGCGUUACUCUGUUCUUAUGAACUUAAUACUCUAGAUGCAUGCUGGAUAGCGGUCGAUGUGUGGAGUAAUAGUAGUAGAUGCAGGCAGGAGUCGGUCUACUUGUCUCGGACAUGAUGCCUAUAUACAUGAUCAUACCUAGAUAUUCUCAUAACUAUGCUCAAUUCUGUCAAUUGCUCAACAGUAAUUUGUUCACCCACCGUAAAAUACUUAUGCUCUUGAGAGAAGCCACUAGUGAAACCUAUGGCCCCCGGAUCUAUCUUCCAUCAUAUUAAUCUUUCAAUACUUAGUUAUUUUCAUUGCCUUUUAUUUUACUUUGCAUCUUUAUCAUAAAAAUACCAAAAAUAUUAUCCUAUCAUAUCUAUCAGAUCUCACUCUCGUAAGUGACCGUGUAGGUAUUGACAACCCCUUAUCGCGUUGGUUGCGAGGAUUUAUUUGUUUUGUGUAGGUGCGAGGGACUCGCGCGUAGCCUCCUACCGGAUUCAUACCUUGGUUCUCAAAAACUGAGGGAAAUACUUACGCUACUUUGUUGUAUCACCCUUUCCUCUUCAAGGGAAAACCAACGUAGUGCUCAAGAGGGAGAAAAAUUGAAAGACGCUUGGUAUAGAAUUUGCAAUGCUCAAAAUAGAUCUACCCGGAAGCAAUCUACUUCUGUUCUUCUUCGCAAUUUUUAUGUAGGCGCUAAUCCUUGGUAUAGAUAUAUUCUUGAUACCAUUACCGGAGGGAAUUUCUUGGGUAGCCAUACUUUUGACUCUUAUAAUGCUAUGAUAUAUUUAUUUGGCUCGCCACCUCUUUUGGUUAAUGGAACUAUGUUAACUUUGGAGCAUGUAAUACAAAGACUUGAAAUUAUUGAAAAUAAAGUUGCUACCGUAGAGUUAAUUGAAAAUCUAGAUAAAAAGAUCCACAACCAAAUUACUCAAUAUGGAUCUAAGGUAGGAGUCACUUUGAAAAAUAUUAAGGAGAGGGAACCCAUAGUUAAUGAAAGAAUAAAUCAAGAUUCCACUAGAAUCGAUAAACUUGAGGGUAUCAUUACCAACUUGGGAACCGCUUUUUCUUCCGUAAAGAGUACUCCAAGUCCUCCAACUAAAAUUGCCAAGCUUAUGUAUGUUCCUAAAAAAGGGUGAAUCCUUUAGUAAGGAAACUGCGGAUCUUAAAUCUAUAAGUAUUCAUCCCAAUCAUUUUUCUAUCAUUAGGGAACCAUUUGCUACAAAUGAAUUUUUCGAUCUUGUUCCUAGAAGUUUGAUAAUUAAUAAAAAGAAAGAAACUCUAAAAGAUAAUAGAUGUCUUAUUGAAGAACUGCCUACAAAAGAUGGCAAUACCUAGAUCUAUCCUUGCUUUUAUGCCUAGCUAGGGGCGUUAAACGAUAGCGCUUGUUGGGAGGCAACCCAAUUUUUUUUUUGCUUUUUGCUUCUGUUUAGGAAUAAAAUUUGAUCUAGCCUCUGGUUAGAUAUGUUUUAAUUAGUGUUUGUGCCAAGUUAAACCUAUAGGAUCUUCUUGGAUGAUAGUUAUUUGAUCUUGCAGAAAAUUCCAGAAUCUUUCUGUUCACGAAAAUAAUUGUUAGAAAUCACCAGAACGUGAUAAAAUAUUGAUUCUAAUUGAUGCUGAUCAAUAAACAAAUUUUCUAGGUCUUCCUAUUUUGGCUGAUUUUUUGGAGUUCCAGAAGUUUGCGUUAGUUACAGAUUACUACAGACUGUUUGUUUUUGACAGAUUCUGUUUUUCGUGUGUUGUUUGCUUAUUUUGAUGAAUCUAUGGCUAGUAAAAUAGUUUUUAAACCAUAGAGAAGUUGGAAUACAGUAGGUUUAACACCAAUAUAAAUAAAGAAUGAGUUCAUUACAGUACCUUGAAGUGGUCUUUUGUUUUCUUUAGCUAACGGAGCUCACGAGAUUUUCUGUUAAGUUUUGUGUUGUGAAGUUUUCAAGUUUUGGGUGAAAGAUUUGAUGGAUUAUGGAACAAGGAGUGGCAAGAGCCUAAGCUUGGGGAUGCCCAUGGCACCCCCAAGAUAAUCUAAGGACACCAUAAAGCCAAAGCUUGGGGAUGCCCCGGAAGGCAUCCCCUCUUUCGUCUACUUCCAUCGGUAACUUUACUUGGAGCUAUAUUUUUAUUCACCACAUGAUAUGUGUUUUGCUUGGAGCGUCUUGUAUUAUUGUAGUCUUUAUUUGUUAGUUUAACACAAUCAUCCUUGCUGUACACAUCUUUUGAGAGAGACACACAUGAUUCGGAAAUUAUUAGAAUACUCUAUGUGCUUCACUUAUAUCUUUUGAGCUAUAUAGUUUUGCUCUAGUGCUUCACUUAUAUCUUUUAGAGCACGGUGGUGGAUUUGUUUUAUAGAAACUAUUGAUCUCUCAUGCUUCACUUAUAUUAUUUUGAGAAUCUUAAAAUAGCAUGGCAAUUUGCUUUAUAUAAUAUCAUGAGAAAUUUGAUGCUUGAUAAUUGUUUUGAGAUAUAAAGGUGGUAAUAUCAUAGUUGUGCUAGUUGAGUAAUUGUGGAAUUGAAAAAUACAUGUGUUGGAGUUUGUGAUUCCCGUAGCAUGCACGUAUGGUGAACCGUUAUGUAACAAAGUCGGAGCAUGAAGUAUUUGUUGAUUGUCUUCCUUUGUGUGGCGGUCGGGAUCGCGCGAUGGUUAACUCCUACCAACCCUUCCCCUAGGAGCAUGCGUAGUAGUACUUUGCUUCGAGGGCUAAUAAAUUUUUGCAAUAAGUAUAUGAGUUCUUUAUGACUAAUGUGAGUCCAUGGAUUAUACGCACACUUACCUUUCCGCAAUUUCUAGCCUCUUCGGUACCGCGCAUUGCCCUUUCUCACCUUGAGAGUUGGUGCAAACUUCGCCGAUGCAUCCAAACCCCGUGAUACGAUACGCUCUAUCACACAUAAACCUCCUUAUAUCUUCCUCAAAACAGCCACCAUACCUACCUAUCAUGGCAUUUCCAUAGCCAUUCCGAGAUACAUUGCCAUGCAACUUUCCACCGUUUCAUUUAUCAUGACAUACUCCAUCAUUGUCAUAUUGCUUUGCAUGAUCAUGUAGUUGACAUUGUAUUUGUGGCAAAGCCACCGUUCAUAGUUCUUUUAUACAUGUCGCUCUUGAUUCAUUGCAUAUCCCGGUACACCGCCGGAGGCAUUCUUAUAGAGUCAUAUUUUGUUCUAAGUAUUGAGUUGUAAUUUAUGAGUUGUAAGUAAAUAAAAGUGUGAUGAUCAUCAUUAUUAGAGCAUUGUCCCAAGUGAGGAAAGGAUGAUGGAGACUAUGAUUCCCCCACAAGUCGGGAUGAGACUCCGGACUAAAAAAAAGAGGCCAUAAAAAAAGAGAAAAGGCCCAAAUAAAAAAAAAUGAGAGAAAAAGAGAGAAGGGACAAUGUUACUAUCCUUUUACCACACUUGUGCUUCAAAGUAGCACCGUGAUCUUCAUAAUAGAGAGUCUCUCAUUUUGUCACUUUCAUAUACUAGUGGGAAAUUUCAUUAUAGAACUUGGCUUGUAUAUUCCAAUGAUGGGCUUCCUCAAAUGCCCUAGGUCUUCAUGGGCAAGCAAGUUGGAUGCACACCCACUUAGUUUCUUUUUGAGCUUUCAUACACUUACAGCUCCAGUGCAUCCGUUGCAUGGCAAUCCCUACUCCUCGCAUUAACAUCAAUUGAUGGGCAUCUCCAUAACCCGUUGAUUAGCCUCGUUGAUGUGAGACUUUCUCCUUUUUUGUCUUCCCACAUAACCCCUACCAUUAUACCUUAUUCCACCAUAGUGCUAUAUCCAUGGCUUGCGCUCAUGUAUUGCGUAAGAGGUGAAAAGGCUGAAGCACGUUAAAAGUAUGAACCAAAUGCUUGGCCAAAAUCGGGGUCGUACAUGAUAUGAAUAUUUUGUGUGGGGAAGAUGGAGCAUAGCCAGACUAUAUGAUUUUGUAGGGAUAACUUGCUUUGGCUAUGUUAUUUUGAUAAGACAUAAUUGCUUAGUUAGUAUGCUUGAAGUAUUAUUAUUUUUAUGUUAACAUUAAACUUUUAUCUUGAAUCAUAUCAAAUCUGAACAUUCAUGCCACAAUAAAGAAGAAUUAUAUUGAAAUUAUGCCUAGUAGCAUUCCACAUCAAAAAUUCUGUUUUUAUCAUUUACCUACUCGAGGACGAGCAGGAAUUAAGCUUGGGGAUGCUUGAUACGUCUCCAACGUAUCUAUAAUUUUUUAUUGCUCCAUGCUAUAUUAUAUUCUAUUUUGGACAUUAUUGAGAUUUAUUAUACACUUUUAUAUUAUUUUUGGGACUAACCUGUUAACCGGAGGCCCAGCCCAGAAUUGUUGUUUUUUGCCUAUUUCAGAGUUUUGCAGAAAAAUAAUAUCAAACGGAGUCCAAACGGAAUGAAACCUUCGGGAACGUGAUUUUCGGAACGAACAUGAUCCAGAGGACUUGGACCCUACGUCAAGAAACAAAAGAGGAAGCCACGAGGUACNNNNNNNNNNNNNNNNNNNNNNNNNNNNNNNNNNNNNNNNNNNNNNNNNNNNNNNNNNNNNNNNNNNNNNNNNNNNNNNNNNNNNNNNNNNNNNNNNNNNNNNNNNNNNNNNNNNNNNNNNNNNNNNNNNNNNNNNNNNNNNNNNNNNNNNNNNNNNNNNNNNNNNNNNNNNNNNNNNNNNNNNNNNNNNNNNNNNNNNNNNNNNNNNNNNNNNNNNNNNNNNNNNNNNNNNNNNNNNNNNNNNNNNNNNNNNNNNNNNNNNNNNNUCCACCGACGUACUCCUUCCUCCUAUAUAUACCUACGUACCCCCAAACGAUCAGAUACCGAGCCAAAAACCUAAUUGCACCGCCGCAACCUUCUGUACCCACGAGAUCCCAUCUUGGGGCCUGUUCCGGAGCUCCGCCGGAGGGGGCAUCGAUCACGGAGAGCUUCUACAUCAACACCAUAGCCUCUCCGAUGAUGUGUGAGUAGUUUACCUCAGACCUUCGGGUCCAUAGUUAUUAGCUAGAUGACUUCUUCUCUCUUUUUGGAUCUCAAUACAAUGUUCUCCCCCUCUCUCGUGGAGAUCUAUUCGAUGUAAUCUUCUUUUGCGGUGUGUUUGUUGAGACCGAUGAAUUGUGGGUUUAUAAUCAAGUUUAUCUAUGAACAAUAUUUGAAUCUUCUCUGAAUUCUUUUAUGUAUGAUUGGUUAUCUUUGCAAGUCUCUUCGAAUUAUCAGUUUGGUUUGGCCUACUAGAUUGGUUUUUCUUGCAAUGGGAGAAGUGCUUAGCUUUGGGUUCAAUCUUACGGUGUCCUUUCCCAGUGACAGUAGGGGCAGCAAGGCACGUAUUGUAUUGUUGCCAUCGAGGAUAACAAGAUGGUUUUUUUAUUAUAUUGCAUGAAUUUAUCCCUCUACAUCAUGUCAUCUUGCUUAAGGCGUUACUCUGUUCUUAUGAACUUAAUACUCUAGAUGCAUGCUGGAUAGCGGUCGAUGUGUGGAGUAAUAGUAGUAGAUGCAGGCAGGAGUCGGUCUACUUGUCUCGGACGUGAUGCCUAUAUACAUGAUCAUACCUAGAUAUUCUCAUAACUAUGCUCAAUUCUGUCAAUUGCUCAACAGUAAUUUGUUCACCCACCGUAAAAUACUUAUGCUCUUGAGAGAAGCCACUAGUGAAACCUAUGGCCCCCGGGUCUAUCUUCCAUCAUAUUAAUCUUUCAAUACUUAGUUAUUUUCAUUGCCUUUUAUUUUACUUUGCAUCUUUAUCAUAAAAAUACAAAAAAUAUUAUCCUAUCAUAUCUAUCAGAUCUCACUCUCGUAAGUGACCGUGUAGGGAUUGACAACCCCUUAUCGCGUUGGUUGCGAGGAUUUAUUUGUUUUGUGUAGGUGCGAGGAACUCGCGCGUAGCCUCCUACUGGAUUGAUACCUCGGUUCUAAAAAACUGAGGGAAAUACUUACGCUACUUUGCUGCAUCACCCUUUCCUCUUCAAGGGAAAACCAACGCAGUGCUCAAGAGGUAGUAGCGCGCCGCUUCGUCCACGUUGUCUUCUCCUACACCGAAACGAUGCUUCGUGACAAUGUGCCGCGGCCACCGAGGUAGUGGAGGAGGCGCCCACACACCUUCGAGAUUGGCUGGGGAAACUCCUCCGUCAUGGGCUUGUCGAGACUACAACGAGGCAGCAACGCCGACUCCUUCACGCGGCGUCCGAUUUGGACGUCGUGGUUGUGCACACGAGUGGGGGGGGCGGCUCCGCCUUGAUGCAGUGGUGACGUGGCAACGCCGACUCCUCCUGGACGCGGGUUUGCGGCAGCAAGGGCGGCAUUGGAACACGUUACCAGAGGGACUGCUCGAUCAUGACGUUCAUCUCCACCUUGUACUCCUCGUCUGUGAUCGCCGCCUCCUCCUCCUCCUCGUCGAAGGAGGCGAUCAUCGUGGAGUCGAUCGACCCAAAGAGUGAUGGGCAGAGAGGAGUGCAUGUACGAUGAUCGGAGAGGAGAGGAUGUGCGGUGAUUGUAGACGAGAGUAUAUGGUGUGAUGUGGGUGCCGGAGCCAUGUUUAAAUAGGCACGACCAAGCGAUUAGACGGGCAGCCGGCUUCAACGCGGUAGCGAGGGCUUCUCAUUCGCCACGUCGGCAUUGAAACACCCUGAUCGACAUCAAUGCCGUGUGGAGUCACGUCCGUUCUGGAGCGGCCUAACCGCCAUGAAUGCACAACGUUGCUUCGCGGGGAGAAGGUUUGGGGGUGGAGCGUGGAGAUCAGGCGCAUACAUAACAACAAUCGGACAUCCACAUAGCUCCCCCCGGAUUGUGUCCGGUUUGUAGGAUUUCGGGGACAUGCCUACCGCUCGGUCGGUAGAUUAGCAGAUAGUAGCUUGUCUCAAGCAGUCUGGGCAAUUCCAGAAAAAAGGGAAAAGGGCACAUGAUGGACAUUGUAUUACGGUUUGAUUUCGCGGAUGAUUGAUUUCAUUUGUUUUGAGCAAACAAUAUAUUUAUGUUUUGUCUUAUGAUUGGUUCUAAGUCCAACGACUGUGUUGACAAUUGAGGCACACGAUUUGUGAACCAUGAAGUUUGCACUUUAUUCUACAAUGGCUUCCGGUUGAUAUUUAGCUAAUUACCUUGACGUGUUUUCUCUCUCUUGCCAAUGGUACAUCUACUCCUAUUGAUUUAAUAUAUCGAGGUUAAUCAUAUUUUCACUUCCAUAAAUAAAUUAUUUGCAUGACCAUUGUUACAAAAAAAAAUUGCCAACAAAAAUUAUUGAUAAAUUUGGCAUACCAAUUAUUAUGAUUCCGUUUGCUUAAAAACAAAAUAAUGUUAAUUGAGCUUAUAAUUUAGACAUACAUGAUCAUGGAAGCAUGUAGCGAGAGGAGGAAGUCAACAAUUAUACUUGCAAUUGUGGUAAGUUUCCAAUUGAACUACUUGUUUGAUUGUUCAUUUUAUAGGUUCGGCAUGCAUGUAGGAUCGUGAAGGGUUCAUGUUUAUUUUUUGUCUUACAGUUUUUGAAUCUAAUGGGUACACGUGCAUGCGGUUAAUGAUUUUAUUAGAAGUGAAAACAAAGCAUCCAGUUGACCAAUGUUUUAGGAUGCCAAUGAACUUUUGAUUUAUGAAGUAGUACAAAUUUUUAACCUUUAAUUCUAACGCAUUAAUUUUAUCUAGGCCGAAUCACUUCUCCUGAAUAUACCACAAAAAUUGCCAUGACCAAGAAAAGUGAUUGUGGUUGAUUCAUCGACCGUAUUCAUCUGGGUUAUCUCCGACAUCGUUUUAAAUAAAUUUACUGAGCUAGGGACAUGGAAGAAUUUUUGUCUUGCAACGCACGGACAAUUUUUCUAGUUUAACUAAAGGGUAAUUUGGGAAUUGUAGUCAAUAUCCGAUGUAACUAUCCAGAACUCCAGAUCCACGGCCACCGUGGGCGUGGCCGGAACUGCAGCCACACGAAGGAGACGUAGGGUCGUAGGUAUAGUGGUAUACUCCUCCACAGACGAUAACUACGGCCUUGUAGAAUUCAAUUUACAUAUGCGCUUGCUCGCAGGGGAUGGACGCCACGGCGAGAUAUCAUAUCUUGACAUUAAACACGCAGCAGCAGCAGCAGCAGCAGCAAAUGACCAAAUUAAACGUAGAGAUCAUACUAUCCUCAUCAACGAGUCAACCAAGUCACACGCUGCUUAUUAAGUUCAUUACAAGUAAACUUCGGUUUCCAAACACACGCGCCACCAACAGAGCCGCACACGCCCGCGAUCUCGCAACAAACCCAACAAGGAAACGACGACGUACUGGCUGAACUGAUGAACUGAUGGAGUCGCUCGCCGGGGAGGUAGCGCGCCGCUCAGACCGCCGCGCCACCUGCGCCCUCCGCCUGGCCGCCGCCGCCGCCGGCGGCUCCGGCCUGCGCCUGCGGGUUCCCGCGCGCCUGGAUCUUGGCCAGAAUGCACUGGCCGAUGUCGUCGAUGGCGCCCUUCGCGAACAGGAAAAGGAUGAUGCUCGCCACACCGUCAAGGAAACCCCAUCCGUACUCGUCCAUGGACUAGAGGACUAGCUUGGCGUGCGUGCGUGAUUGGAUGGGCAGAAGAGGGGAGGGUGCGAUGGGUCGAUGAAGAGCAGAAGAGUGAGGAGUGGUGGAAGAAAGUGACUACACAGGAGGGGUUUAAAAGGAACACGCUCUCUCUGCGCUCUGGCC
RNAcentral lists this long non-coding RNA (12697 nucleotides) under Triticum aestivum (bread wheat). Its description in RNAcentral is "long non-coding RNA (TAES_LNC023719)". Lineage: Eukaryota; Viridiplantae; Streptophyta; Magnoliopsida; Poales; Poaceae. The record is from RNAcentral.